GAACGGGGAAGGCCAAAAGCAAAGGCAAACAAGGAAAAUAUCACGUGGCCCCACAUUUAAUAUUGACUACAUUUUGAUUCCUUUAAUUCACACAUUCAGGGAGCUUCAUGGAAUUGAAUGCACAUUAGUGGGGCCCACACGGUUUCUAAUUUCUUACUAUAUUCCAAGAAUUUUGACAGAAGGGGGGACACACAGAAAACGGAAAAAAAGGAACCCUAGAGACAUCCGCCGCCUUAUGCCCUAUCUCCGCCAACGACCAACUGAAACGAGCCCAGCUCCGCUUCGUCGUCCAGACGACCACCACACACGACCCUACUGCCCAAACGAACACCCUCUUCAUCAACCAAAAACACACGAGAAACCCUAGCAGUUCCCUAACACCAUAACCCCGCUGGCCAGCCGCCGCCGGGCCACCCUAGCUACUGGCCCUCCAUCUUCAGCAACCUAUCUCCACGACCCAGCAACGCCCAAACUUCUGCCCUUCGUUCACAUCCAAAUGACCACUCUUUGCUCUCCAUCCCAGCAGCUAACCCCCGCCUCUAUCUCUCUCUUUUCUGUCUCACCUCCAUCGCCGGCAAACGAGAGGGCAGUGGCCGCUCAGAAACAUCACCCCGUUUUCAGGUGCCUCCGAAUCUCCUCAUUAAUUAUCGGCAUAAGACUAGCCGUAUUUCUACUGAAAAUUCUUUGAAUAUGUAUCAAAAGCUUAAUGUCAGGAGUUCUUCUCUUAGUUUUCUAAUUUUGAUGACUCCUUGAAAUUCCACAAUAAUAAAAACCACAUAAAAUUGUUGUUGUUUGAUUCUGACAUGGUGAGCCUAUGAGGUUUCGUCCGUCGAGCUCGAGUUCCCCAGUUCCGUCCGAGUUCGCUUAUCAUUUCUUUUAAUUUCGGCUGUCUCUUUUCGUUUGAUUGCUCGUAUAAUUGCUGGAAACUUUCAUCAGUUAAAAGUUCAGCAUUCAAGGCCCAUUCCUCUAUUCUUAACUCUCUUUCUGAUUUUCACGUAUUUCUGAUUGUGAUAAUGUUAGUUUGAUGUUGGAUUUUUUUUAGUUUCGUUUAAAUUUUCUAAUCACAUCCCCUAGAGCUUCAUUAGUAUUAGUUUAUGUCUUGUUUGCUAUGUGAGUUUUACAACGUAUGAGUCAGUUUAUGCAUUUCGGCACGUUCAUUGGACUUAACAUAUUUGGACUCAAGUAGCUUUGUCAUCGUUAUCUUGUUCUAUUGGAUUGCUAAUGACAUCUUUUAGGCUCGGUAACAAGUAGGCACAACUCAAAUAAUUUGGGGUAGGCAAACAUGUAUUAGGAAGAACUAUGCAUAUUUUUGUUCUUGAGGUGAAAGAUCGUUUUCUUAGUUAAAUUUAAUCGGGGAAUGUCCGAAAGAUUUGUAUAUAUUUUAUCCGAAGUAUCAUUUAUUUGGAGGCCAUGACGAACAUUGUGGAGGAAGUACAAUGCAUGCUAGCUUUUAUUUUAUUUUAUUUUACUAGCUGGGACGACCUCGGGCCUCUUGUGUGUUUAUUUUUAUUUUUUUAUGUUUUCCACCUCAAUCGAAUACUUUAAUAGCCAACUAGAUCGAGUACGCAACCGUGACCUUCACGGGACGUGGGGAGUGCCUAACAUCUUCUCCUUGAGUCAAAUGAACCCCGUUACCCUUAUUUCUGGUUAGACUUAAUUUUAGACUCCAAAUGUUUUAAAAAGAAAAAUAUUUUCUAACAAAAAUGGUGGCCCGGCACACCGAAAUCAAAUGCCAGGUAGCGACUCUGAGUUUAUUUUCUUUUGAAACACAAUUUUUGUCACUUUCAAAAUUGAAAACCCUUUUCAAGCUUUAUUUAAAUCUUUUUAUUAAUUUAAGAGGGUUUAAUAUAGGUUUGUUCUAAAAAAAAAAGGAAGUGACAUCUCUGGCGACUCUGCUGGGGAGUUGCCGGUUCGAGCUAGUACUUGAUCGUGUUGGGUUUAAGGAUUUUCAGUUGAGGUUUUUAUGUGUUGUGUUUGUUUUAUUUGAUUUUUAUUUUGUUUAUGUCCUUUUUUUAAUUUGCUACUUGCUUAUUUGUUUACAGUUUUUCCUUUAUGCGUUACUGCUUUAUAACUGUCAUCAUUUGCAUAACCCCGAGUCUUCUCUCUGCAACAAGUCUUCCGGAGUACGUUUGAGCGUACAUGACCUUUUUGUGAGUCACCCGUGUCUUUAGGGGCUGGCGUGGGAGCGUGGAGUGGGCGGAUAGCUAGAGCAGCCACUAUCGACCACGUGCCGCCCCGAAUUGCCUUGUUAGUGAACCCCAAACUUAGAUCAGUCUUUAGGUCAUUUUGUUUGCAUCAUCUCAUCUACACCUAGUAGGGCUCGGUCCAAGGCACCGUGUUCCUUUGUGGGAAGCCUGUCAAAAUUUUUUCCAAAUGGGCUCGUGGCUCAGAAAGACAUUCAAUCAUCCAUAUGUGAUACAUGUUGCAUAUUUGAUGGUAAUAAGGUUAUUUGCCAGACCGAUAUUUGGAAAGAAGGGUGAAAAAUGAAGCAAGCAGGGCCCACUCGUAUUUUUUCUUUCAUAAUCUUUCAAAAAUAAAAAAAAUAGAAAAUACAAAAUAAAAAAAUAUCACUUUUCCAUCAUUUUAUAAAAAAUCAAAAAAUGAAAAUUGAAAAAUACAAAAAAAAAUUUAUACUUUGCCAUCUUUUAUCCAUAAAUUAACAAAAAAAGAAAAUAGAAAAUCCAAAAAGAUUUUGCACUUUAUUAUUUUCCAAAAAAUCCAAAAAACAAUAUUAAAAAAAAUCCAAAAGACUUUACAUUAUUUUGCAAAAUUCAAAAAGUAGAAAAUGAAAAUACAAAAAAGAUUUUACACUUUUUCAUUAUUUUCCAAAAAUAGAAAAUUCCAAAAUAUUUUACACUUUUCCUUUAUCUUCCAAAAAGGGCAACAAAAAUAAAAAAAUAAAAUCCACAAAAAGUUUUUGUACGUUUUCCCAUUAUUUUCCAAAAAAUCUAAAAAAAGGUUUUACAUUUUCCCAUCACUUUUCAAGAAUUCAAAAAAAAAAAAAAAAAAAAAAAAAAGGAAAAAAAAAAAAUGUUGCAUUUUCUAUCUUUUUUUCCCAAAAAAAAAAAAAAACAAAAAUAGUUUCUUUGUCAAAUUAGAUGCUUUUUUUGAAUCCUAUCAUAUAUUUAAUUUUUCCGAACUACGCGAACCUGUUUCUCGUCUUUCGGGGCGAGAUACGUAGGUAACCCAUAUAGGCCCGAUCUUCCUAGUCUUAUGUUCUUGGCUUUGCGGGGUCUUGCCAAAUCAUGCAUGUCUAGCCACUUGUGUCCAUAUCGACCAUUGUUGCAAAAUGGGGUCAUUUUCGCAAAAGUGGUUCAAUAAACCGUAUCGUAGGAUCUUGAGUCCGCAACAAGGUGUCAUAUUACUUUAAGAUCCUUCCUUUUUGAGUUUGCAUUUUUAGCCACAUUUGGCCAUAUAGGCUAUUUUUGCAAAACGGGCCAUUUUCGCAAAGUAAUUUUUUUAAGGCCAUGAUUGUUGAAAUGUUAGAGCAAUGAGUCAUGCAAGCUUUAAAUGGAUUAUGUUUCAUGCAUUAGGAGGUCAAUUUUGUCAAGUUUGCACUAAUAGCCACUUUCAGUCACUCAAGUCAUUUUGUAAAAUAUAGCCAAAUCGUGUCUUGCAUCUGUCCACUAGGAGGAGUUGUGACAUCACAUGUGUCUUCAGUCACUAACUCUAUUUGAUCUUAUUUUGAGCCAAAUCGUGUCUUGCAUCUUUCCACUAGGAGGAGUCAUGGCAUCACAUAUGUCUUCAAUCACUAAAUCUAUUUGAUUUUAUUUUUCCAUCAGGUAUGGAUACAAGUACCCCAGGACUAUUCUAGUCUUUUGUUAUAUUACUUCCAAUUUUGUAUUUGAAAAAUAAAAAAAUUAUUAUUAUUAUAAAUGAAAAAGUCAAAAAGAUAUUUAUUUUUAGUUUAUUUGUCCAUUGUUUUUCAAGAACUACGCUUGAUCUGAUUCAUGAGGGGCAUGAUACGGAGGCAACCUACAUAGGGUUCGAUCGAAGCAUUAAAAAGAAAAAAAAAGGAAAAAGAAAAAAAAACAAUGAAAUUGUGGGAUUUAAGAAAUUAGUGAAAAAGAAAGAAUGGUAAUCAAAAGAAAAGGGAGGAAAGAAAAUGAAAAACCAAGGAGGGUUAAAGAGAAAAAUGAAGAGGAAAAGGGGCAAGAAGUGAACAAAAUUGGGAUGGUGCCAAAUGACCUUGUACCCUCGAAGCCAUUCUAGAACCAUUAAUUGUUGCUAGGGGCAUUGCACGCAAUGUGAUAUUUCAAUCUGAUAAAUGCUCUAACGCUAACCUGUUGGCUUUAUUUUGCUCCUCUUUGUUACUUUUAUUACAACAGAGGGUGAUUAGUUUGUGGCACUUUAGUGAUUUGUCCAUACAACACAAGGUCAAAAAGCAAGAAAACCAUGGCUAGCUCAGGAAUAGGUUAACCCCUCCCCCCUCCCCGCGUUUAUCCUUUUUCUUCUUGGACAAAGGAACCAAGUUCUUUCUAGAAAAAUGAAAUUUUGUUUGAUAAAUUGCAAAACUAUCACCUCAAGAAGGAAUGUGAGGGGUGUUAGCAUCGAAAAAAGUCAGGCGUCAUGUGGAAGCUAGUAAAUCAUAUUUUCAACGACGAUAAAUCAGACAACAAAAGAGAAAUAUACCAAAGAGACACAAAUAUUUAAUGUCGUUUGGUCAACUGACCUACAUCUACGGCGGAGAUGAGCAAUCCACUAUAUUAUAAUAUAAAAAAGAGUACAAAAUAUCGAGGGAACAACCUCACGGAGAGGCAAACACAAGUAACACACUAACACUUGUUCCGUAAAGUUCUCACCCUAAACGCGACUCUCAAAUCUCAUAUGACUACAUUGUGGAUGCUACUGAAUGAGAAUGAAUGAUCCUCAAUUGAUAGAAGUCCAAACCUUUUCCUACAAGAAAAAGGGCUAGCCAAAUAUGGAAGAUUUGUAAUUUUCUUCUGAAACAAGGAAAAUCCAACUAAGGUAAAAGUGUUGUCCUUUCCUUCAACAAAUAAAAAAAUCGAAUAUGGUAAGAAAUUCAUGAUAACACCUAACAAGGGGUGAGACUUUAAUUAGACGAUUUGUUAUGAAAAUAAUUAUUCAUUGUAGUUAGUGAUUGUUUGGGUGAAUAAUCUAAGGUGAAUUAAUCUUUCAGAUGUUAUCUCUGCGCAUAUUGAAUUAACCAGCGAUGAAGCCAGGAAUUUUCUGAAGGGUAUUCAAAUUUCAAAUAAAAAAAAUCUAAUAAAGAGUGGCGAUGAAGCCAAGAAUUUUCUGAAGGGUAUUCAAAUUUCAAAUAAAAAAAAUCUAAUAAAGAGUGUUUAAUAUAAUGUUAUGUAUCUUUAAAAUCAAAUAUUUUGCUUAUUUACGCAAUGUCAUUUUUCGAUAAAGGAUGAACAAUUGACCACCCUAACUUAAGUGUAGCUUCGCCCCUAGCGAACACCUAACCGGGCAGCCAGUUGUGCCCGGUAAGGCCAAGAGCUAGUUUUGGAGAGUCACUGGCCUUAUUUAUUCGAGGAGACUUGAUUUCGAAAUGAAAUGAUUAAUAUAAUCGAUAUUUUUACUAGUAAAGAGCAUCUAAUCGAGAGAAGCCCUAUAAGCAAUCUUGGUUAGCCUCUCAUAAGAUGAAGAGCAUAAAUGUGGUGAGUUGUAAUUCUGUAUGGAAAUUAAAAAGGAAAGCAACAACAAGACAGGUGACCACAACUAUCAGAAAUGUGCUCAUUUCCACCUAAACAUUCAAAUAUGUCAUUUGGCUGGUCUAUCGUUUGUACUCCCUGGGCUUUGGUGUAAAUGAUUGCAUGUUUUAUAUUUUCUCAUUUUUUCUCCUUCUCUCUUGACAGUUCAAUUUGAAUAUUCUGAUUGUGUGGGGUAAAAUUGGUUAUUGACGGAUGGUCGAAUUGUAAUAUGACACGUGGAACCAAAGAUAGAUAAAAGACGAGUUGGGAAACAAUCAAUUCCCAAGGGAGCAUAGUCGGUGAUGGAAAGUAAAAGACUUGCUAUCGGACAACAUUCAAUGAUGAAAUAUUUGAUGGCGCUAAAUGAGCAGUCGUUACAAAGAAUAUUAACAUUCAAGUCUUGUUGUUACACACUCAUCAUUGGCCCUUUUAUUAUCAUUUAAGAGGAACUUGAUUUUAUGAUCUUGUUUCCCUAGGUAGAAUUAUAAAUAGAGGGGUUAACAACAGAUAACAGAAAUGUAUCAGUCAUGUGUACAUGGGGCAUCCUCCACCUUCCUUCCCCAAUAACUACACUGAAAACUCUGCAACUAUCCCCGCCACUCUCACAAUUCAGAUGCCCAACACCGUUGAUCUCUCGGCAAAACACACACCAUGCUUUACCCCUUAUCCAAAUUACCUUGGCACUUUCUCCGAAACUUUUCAUGUUCCACCAGCCAAAACAACCGCAUUCCCAGCUCAGGAUACCCACUACUAUGCACCACAACCCAGUUUCAACGUCCCGGAUCCUUAUUCCUACACUUCCCACCUUGAGCCUCAGGUUGAAACUGAGAAACUGCCCAAGAACGCGGAGCAGGAGGAGACAUUUAGGAAGGUAAAGAGUCUGGAGCAAUCAUUGAGAAACAUGCAAGGAUUAGGAAGCCAGGUGAGUGUUGCUUAUAAGGAUUUAUGUUUGUUCCCUGAUGUCCAGUUGCAUGUCCGGUUCAAGAUGCCCAAGUUUGAUUUGUAUGAUGGACAUGGGGAUCCUAUAGCCCAUCUGAGGGGUUAUUGCAGUAAGAUGAGAGGCGCUGGGGGAAAAGACAAAUGACUGAUGGCGUACUUCAGUCAGAGUCUGAGUGGGGCAGCUCGGGAAUAGUAUACCUGCCAAGACACCAGCGGAUGGUACACAUGGGACGAUAUGGCUCACGCCUUCGCCCGACACUUCCAGUACAAUAUAGACAUUGUCCCGGAUCGCCUGUCUCUGACCAAGGUAGAAAGGAAGCCCAGCGAAAGCUUUAGAGAAUAUGGGUUCCGAUGGAGGGGGCAAGCUGCACGAGUCAAUCCUCCGAUGGAAGAAGACGAGAUGGUUAAAUACUUUCUUCAAGCCCUGGAGCCCACUUAUUAUGGCUAUUUGAUCUCAGCCAUUGGAUGUGGUAAAGAUGAGAGAAAUGGUGGAAGAGGGAUUGAAGUCGAGCAAGAUCAUGAGCUAUUCAGCCUUGAAAGCCACAACAUAGACAAUUAAGAACGACACCGGAAGCUUACCAGGUCAGAAGAAACAUGAUGAUGUUGCCAUUGUUGUCUCAGGAUCACGACAUGGCCCAAUGAGUCUACCUCACCACUAUACUCAGCCUCGACCCCGACCCCAACUCCAAACCUAUCAUUGGGCUCCACAUAAUCCAUCUCAGCAUUAUCCUUCGAACAACGCCCAAUCAUUUGUUCAACCAAUGGGUCACUGCUUAUGGCGAGCACCAGCACCGCAUAAUACUCUUUCUCCUUCACAACAUUUAUGAGCACCUAAAAACUCUAGGAAACAGGGGCAUAGAGGGGAAAAAAGGCAAAGAAAUUGUUUCACUCCAAUCGGAGAAUCCUACACAAGUUUGUUUGAAAAGUUGACUGCAUAAUACUCUUUCGCCUUCACAAUAUUUUCGAGCCCCCAAAAACCCUAGGAAACAGGGGGCAUAGAGGGAAACAAAGGCAAAUAAAUUAUUUCACUCCAAUAGGAGAAUCCUACAUAAGUUUGUUUGAAAAGUUGAAACAAUCUGGCUUGAUUCAGCCGUUCUUCGGCUAUACUCCAGACCCAUAUGCAAAAGGUUUUGAUCCUACUGUGCGGUGCAUGUACCACUCUAAUGUCCAAGGGCAUAGCAUUGAAGAUUGUCGUUCUUUGAAAGGGAGAUAGAAUAAAUGAUUCAAGAAGGAAUAAUUGUGUUCCAGGACAGUGACACCCAGAAUAUCACACCUGCACAUGAUGAUGCACACUUUGUGGGUGAGGUGCGUGGUGACAAGGAGUAUGAGAGUCCUCUUGGGAGCUUGUUGAGUGAAGUUAACAGAAUUGGAAUCGGUGAAAGUCCUAGCAAUUUUGAUGUGCAAUCCAGUGGCUAAGACGUCGAGUUGGCGAUUGAGAAGACACUCCUUUCUCGGCUUGCUAACGAGGAGUUUUGGUAGUUUAUUUUGUUGUCAUUUGUUGCUUGUUCGUUUAUUUUAGGAUUGUAAUUUAGAUAUUGUCUCGUGGGUCAAACUCUUCCUCUUCUUCUCAUUUUGUCUAGUUCGUUUAGUUUGUAGUAACUUGUCUCGUGUUAUUUAGGAUUGUUCCAGGUUGUAACCCAUGUCUAUUUUUCUUGUUUUGUUCGAACCCUAUUCACCGUCUGUCUAAUGCAAUCUCCUGUUUUCUUUUAUUUCUAGUCAGUUUUGUUUAAGUCAUUUUUCCUUCUAUAGUUCUUUUCAUGCCGACUUUAGUGACAUGACAUGCACGCAUAAUUCUCAGCCUGAUCUUGAAUGUUAGUCUAAUCAUGAAGCAAUGACACAAUUUUGAAGAUGAUAAAAGGAUGUGUUUGAGGAAACAAUUAAAGAUUCACGCAUUCUGAGAUGACCUGAACGAUGAAUUAAGUGAAACUUAGGCAGUUAUUUUUGAAAAUGAAGAUGUUAAUGAGAGCAUACAACACUGAAUUGCCUGUCAUGCAGUUUGAGCUAUCAGUGCUGAAAUGCAUUCUUCCAC
RNAcentral lists this long non-coding RNA (8625 nucleotides) under Nicotiana benthamiana. Its description in RNAcentral is "long non-coding RNA (NBEN_LNC005034)". Lineage: Eukaryota; Viridiplantae; Streptophyta; Magnoliopsida; Solanales; Solanaceae. The record is from RNAcentral.